Molecule: long non-coding RNA, 2086 nt
Organism: Pelodiscus sinensis (Chinese soft-shelled turtle)
Lineage: Eukaryota; Metazoa; Chordata; Testudines; Trionychidae
Source: RefSeq, a predicted model, not a curated record
CUAGUGGACUAAAGCGUAUCUUCCAGAAAGGCAUUCAGUCUUAACCCAUAGACAUAAAAAUGGAGAUCUCUCUUCUUCUUGGUAUUUAGUUAUUCUCUGCACCCCCCAUUAGUGAAGCCUUCCCAGUGGCUGUUGUCAGCUCCAUGUGGGCAGAGUUAAUGUUACAUUGCAGGGGAUGAUACCCUAGUUUUAUAUUUCCAGCUUGUGAGUGGUUUAAUUUGAAGAGUUGAUCACAUUAGGGAAAGGCAUGUGGAGACACUGAGUAACCAGGACUCUGUUUACUGCCUUUUUCCUUAUUUUUUCAAAAAUAAUUUCUUGGACCCAAUAUACCACAGCCCAGCUCUCCCCUUCCACUGCCCAUGGCUGUUUGGCAGUGAUUUCCCACAGAACGCACUCACUGGCUACAUGGUAGUCCCCUCAUUUCCCUGGUAUUAUCGUCUCCUCAGCCCUCUCUGCCUGUCCAGAAUAACUGGUCCUCUCUCCUCCGCCUUCCUCACAAAGAGGCAGGGGUCAGCAUAGCACCAGCAGUCUGAGGAACUGUAAAAGGAAUGUAGGCUCAAUGCAGGGACUAGCAUGGAGACAUAUUCUGAAGGGGGCCCAGAUGUAGAGGAUUUGGCGGGGAUAGAAACGAAACCCCUCAAGCAUUCGUCCUGCACAUCUCACACCCUGCUUUCCAUCCCACUUUUUCCUAUACAAUACUGUUUCAACUCCCCCUCAUACUCUUCUCCACUAAUCCAAUCCCCCCACGUUCCCUAAAGCUACUCAGAGACCUCCACCACUGUUCCAACUUCUCCCUCCAUCACAUCUAUUGCUCUGACAGUCCCCACACUCAGAGUAGCUCCACCCUCCUCCUUGUCAUUUUAUGCCCCAGGCAACCUUGGAGGGAACACAGAAUGGUUGGAAGAACGUGGGGCUCUCAGGAGUGUAUGUACCAACUGGAGCCUGGGAGAGGAAGCUGGAGAUGCAGAGUUCCCACCUGAAUUGUGGGGUGACAACACAGGAAGCUCAAAGAGGUGUGAAGUGUCCCAUUCCUUUCAAUGUGAUGGUCUCCGCUGAACGCCCCCUGGAGAUGGAUACAGGAUGCAAUAGAUCUGAGAUGUAUGAUCUGCAUCAUUCAUCGUCCACCUUUAAACAGAAAAACACUUCAGUAACAGUAAGGAAAAGAGAAUGUGAAAGUGCAAUGCUCUAUAUGACUGUCAGCAUGCUGAGUCCACAGUAUGUCUGGCCUGAGUAGAAUGAGCGCUUGUGCACAAAUCAAGUCACAGUGAAGCUUAAGUGCGUGCAGAAGUACAGAUGGAUCCAAUGGCAUGAUGUGCAGCCUGAACUCAUGGAAGUGCAAGUCCCCAACAAGAAAGUAAUGGAAACCUGUUGCAAAAAAGAGCAAAGAUAUUUUCAUGGGGGAAAAGCAAAGGCACCGCAACCCCCCUUAGUUUUCUGGUAAGAGGAUACAAGAUUGAAGUCUGUCAUCCACAGGAGACAUGCAUGGAAGCAUAAGGACAAAAAUUACUCUGGAUGCAUAGCUAUUAGAGCAAAGGAAUGCAGUGCUGGAAAGAAUGUGGACAACAGCCAAAGCUCUCCUGCUAACGUCUAGUAGUAAUUGUACUUCGCUACAUUUACAUGUCAUGGAAAUACGAACUGAUCUGGGAAGCAAUGAUUAUGAGACUAAAUUGCAUCUGUUACAAUUAAUGCCGUUUAGUAACUAUUGUAAUUAUAAAUGAUGACAAAGGGAGAACUUUUACAAAUGAUAGGUUUGAAUAUCAAGGAAAGAGGCGCUUGAUGGAUUGAAUAUCGUCAGAGACAGAUCAUAUCGGAGGUAAUUAAUUAAAAUAGAAAGAGGUUUAGAAUAGGAGCCUGUGGAAUACUAUAAUUAAAAUAACUAUUAGCAUGGAGAAAAUGGAGAUGCCAAGGGGGUUGAUAAACUAGCCUGAAAACCUAAGACAAGAAUAUGGUCUGCAACAAAAAAGGGACUGUAAUUUAUGUGCCCAAAAUUCAGCAGAGGAAAAGCAGGGGAAAGCAGUAGCUGAUCCCUACCUACUGCUUAAACAUAUAUUCACACAUGUGGCUACGUCUACACUGGCAAGAUUUU